GACGAACGCUGGCGGCGUGCUUAACACAUGCAAGUCGAACGGAAAGGCCCUGCUUUUGUGGGGUCCUCGAGUGGCGAACGGGUGAGUAACACGUGAGUAACGUGCCCUUGACUGUGGGAUAUCUUCAUGACACUGGGGCUAAUACCGGAUAGGAUCUCCUGCUGCAUGGUGGGGGUUGGAAAGAUUCGGUGGUUGGUGAUGGAAUGGCGGCUUAUCAGCUUGUUGGUGGGGUAGUGGCUUACCAAGGCCUUGACGGGUAGCAGGCCUGAGAGGGUCAGCGGACACACUGGGACGGAGAUACGACACAGACUCGUAUGGGACGGAGGGGUGCAGUAUAGUGUACAAUGGGCGGGGGCCAGGCGCAGCAAAGCAGUGUGGGGUAAGUCGGGAUGCGGGUAGGGAUGUAAUUUUGCUUGAGACGAAGCGAGAGUGACGGUAACGGGUGAAGAAGCACCGGCUAACUACGUG
This 468-nucleotide ribosomal RNA is filed under the name uncultured bacterium. RNAcentral describes it as "partial 16S ribosomal RNA". It matches the Rfam family "Bacterial small subunit ribosomal RNA", at positions 28 to 507 of the family's 1533-position model. The record is from RNAcentral.